Molecule: long non-coding RNA, 3357 nt
Filed under: Hordeum vulgare
Lineage: Eukaryota; Viridiplantae; Streptophyta; Magnoliopsida; Poales; Poaceae
Description: long non-coding RNA (HVUL_LNC013929)
Source: RNAcentral
CCUACCUUCACCCAAUCCUCCUUAUCCACAAACACACACCUCACUCAUUCCCCUGUGAACGAUAGCCGGCGGCGCAAUCCUUUUGCUUCCUCUUCCCGUCCUUGGUGGCUGGGCCUUGAGCAUCUCAGCCAUCUGGUCUGCAGCUCCUCCUUGUCCUCCUACUCUAGCGGCAGCUCGCAGAGCCCAAGGGGACGGCGUCGGAUGUAGUGGCGAGACAUGGAUCUCCGCCUCUCCGGCAUCGACGGUGACUCAAUCCGCGGCAUUGGCUGCCGGCGGCGGUUAUGGAGGUGCCCAUCCUCCUGCACAUGCUCAUGUUUUUCUUGCCUCAGACUGCCCAAAUCACUGUGGAGCACGGCGAAACUCGUCCACCGUCGCACUUGACAGCCACUGUGAUGGGUUUCAAUACAAUUCCAUGUUGAAACAAAAAAAAACCCAGGUAUUAUUCAUUGCCUUUAUUCUUACUUUUUUGUUCUGGAGUAGGAGUGUUACUGAAGCAAGUACUACUACCUUAGGAUUACGAAAUCAGUUACCAAAUAAAGCAGGCAAUUUGUUCAUCCCCAUUACUUAUUUUUUUACGUCAGUACAGUUAAACAAAACACUAUCUCAAAAAGGCGCUACCUCAGAAUUACUGUUGAUCGUGAUCACAUCACAUCUCAAAUCGUUCAUAAGUUCCGACCAGUCAUAUCGACCCCAUUCAAAUCGUAAAACACACACUGAAUUGUGGCAUAAUCAUAGUCAAAAUCAGUCAAACGACUGCAAUAGACACUGAAUCUGCUCAGGGGAAAAAAUAAUCAAGGAAACAAAUUGCUAAGGGAAAUAAAGUCUUUAAGUUCAGUUGCAAUUUUUUCUUCAACCCACUGCGUAGAGCCUCAUCUCACUUCGAUUUCACGAAUGUUAUAUCCCCACGAGAGCACAUCAUAUAGGGUUCUCUGCAGUCAGAAUAGCAGCGGUUAGUACAUUCACUCAUACAUAACCAGUGACAUUAAACAUAAUGAAAACAGUGCUCAUGCAAAAUUAUAUUCUCCUACAUUAUCCCAAUGUUCGAACAUUAUAAAGGGCAACAUAUGACAAUUCAAUGAACUAUCCUAAUUCGUUACUGUCUCUUUGUCCACUUCGUCUGAAAGAAAGCAAAAUUCAUAUAAUCUCAGAUAACCCAGAAUGUAAACAAGUAGGAAGCUUACUCUGCCUACACAGUUUCCAUGGGCUGACUCUGGCCUCUCUGAGUCCCUCGCACUUUCUUGAAUUUAGCAAUUAUACAUUCAGGUCGGCUUAGAUUUCCCAGCCACUGUGUCGCUUUCUUGAACAUAGUCUUUAUGCGCUUAAUCACCAUCUGAAAGAGAAAAAAAGAAUCAAAGGACAUAUGUAUGAUACCUUACUACUUUUUAAUUUGAAAUCAUCAGUCGUGAUCAAGAGGCAUUGUACCUCUGUCGGCUGAAAGUAAUUCAGCCAAAUGACCACCGUCAUGCACAAGACGACACAUGCAAAAGGCCAUACAACUGAUUUGGAAACACCUCUACAAACACACAGUGUUAUAAAUGGUGCUGCGCACAACCACAGAAGUAUUAAAAGCUGCACUAUUUGUAGGACUUUGAAUCCAAGAUUUUCAGGCAAUGCUCCCUCCUUGAAGCUUGAAGCAGGACCUAUCAGAAUAAGGCUGAUGAUGGUCACUACAAUGUGUGCUGUGGGAAUGAUGUCCUUCCAAGUGCCAAAAUUUGCAUUUGAGCAAAAUAAAGUCCAAUUAGGAAUGAGAAACCCUGAGCAAGCAAGUGAGGCGAUCGCAGUGUUCAAGACAAAACCAUGCCUACCCUGAGUUCAGACAAAGCAGUAAGAAAAAUUGGCGCAGCUACAGAGCUUUUGGUAUAGUCUAAUGCCAGGGAAAGGAUAAUCACCUUCAUUUUCUUCUCAUUCUCAUCAGAAUCAUUUUCAUCAUCAGGNNNNNNNNNNNNNNNNNNNNNNNNNNNNNNNNNNNNNNNNNNNNNNNNNNNNNNNNNNNNNGCCUAUGUCAACAUGAUGAAUUGGACUGUUGGUUGCUCUCUUUCUCUGAAUCAACAAAACAAUACGUCAGAGAGCAAAAAUAAAACUAGGAAGAUACGGACAGGGAGAGGAAAGAAAACGACGCAAGUUGUUGUCACCAUUGUUUCCGUCCCAGUGUUUUUAUAAGAGUAACUGCUCAUAGAAUUUGUAGUGCUAUUCAGAACAGUCGGAAUUACUGCAUGUUUCUCAUCAUUUUUGCCAUUGCAGCUGCUUGGCUCAGCUCCCACAGGAUUGAUAGCAUCCUGUCGAGCAUUAACGAGUUGGUAAGGCACAAUGUCAUUGUGUUCAUGACAUUGGUGCAACAAUAAGGGAAAUAAUCAAAGGGAAGUGGGAGCAUAUACCAUGCCACUGGAAGGUUGACACUCGACAUUGUCCUGAUAAAAGAAAAAAAAGUAGCAUCUUUUAGUUUAUGACAAAGCGUCGCAAGCCAAAAACAAGGAAGAGCAAGAAAAUUUGUAGUAGACACUCCAACAGUAUAUAAGUUUAUUCAUAAAUAAACACCACAAAUUACAUAAAUGUAUACAAGUGGCUGAGCUUGAUGAAAAUGUUGUGGGGGCAGGAAAACAACCUAUAUAUGCUUAACCUUGGAAGCAGUUAGGUCACUGCAGGGAGUUAGUGAUGGUGAUCCUAUGCAUGAGCUAAAGAGAGUAUGUUUGAUUUGAAGUUGUGCUAAGCACAGUGAGAGGUGGUAACAUUCUCAAAGAUGAAUCCAUUCAUCUGCUUCCAGAUGUCCCAGGCUGCAAUGUGAUGGCGUUUUCCAUGAAGUCAGGGCGGUUGAAAUUGGUUCUGGUCUCGAUCAAAUCUGCAAGGCUGUGCUAGUGCCCCAGUUCGUGCGGAUGCCCUCGACAUAAUAAUAUAUAUAUAUAAGACUCGAUCAAACAAUUGGAGGACCCAGGGCAACUGGCAUUGAGGUGAAAUUCCUGUACAUAGAGGGGAGCGCUGAAGAUGUGCAACAAUCUGGCGACAGAAGAUGCAGAUGUGAUGAAUGAGUCUUACUGAGUGUAAUGUGAUGUAGAAUUUCUGAAGUUUAAUGCAUAUGCCACGGUUGGCUGAAUAUGGUUUUCCCUGGAGGAGCAUUUAUCUAUUCUUCAGCUAAAGCUGUAUGCACCAGUAGUGCAGCACAAUGCUAAUUUUCAGUUAAAAUUUGUAUGCAUUGGUAAUGCGAUACAAAACUACUCCUUUCAUUUUUAAACAUAAGUCUUUUUAAAAAUUUCACUACGAACUAUAUAUGGAUGUACUAUAAAGACAUGUUUUAAAGUGUGAAUUCACUCAUUUUAUUUCGAAUGUAGUCCGUAGUGAAAUAUCUAGAAAGACUUAUAUUUA